This 301-nucleotide ribosomal RNA is filed under the name uncultured bacterium. RNAcentral describes it as "partial 16S ribosomal RNA". It matches the Rfam family "Bacterial small subunit ribosomal RNA", at positions 509 to 809 of the family's 1533-position model. The record is from RNAcentral.
CAGUCGCCACGGUAAUACAGAGGGUGCAAGCGUUAAUCGGAAUUACUGGGCGUAAAGCGCGCGUAGGUGGUUCGCCAAGUUGGAUGUGAAAUCCCCGGGCUCAACCUGGGAACUGCAUCCAAAACUGGCGAGCUAGAGUAUGGUAGAGGGUGGUGGAAUUUCCUGUGUAGCGGUGAAAUGCGUAGAUAUAGGAAGGAACAUCAGUGGCGAAGGCGACCACCUGGACUGAUACUGACACUGAGGUGCGAAAUCGUGGGGAGCAAACAGGAUUAGAUACCCGCGUAGUCCCUGUCUCUUAUAA